This 253-nucleotide ribosomal RNA is filed under the name uncultured bacterium. RNAcentral's name for it is "partial 16S ribosomal RNA". It matches the Rfam family "Bacterial small subunit ribosomal RNA", at positions 524 to 776 of the family's 1533-position model. The record is from RNAcentral.
UACGUAGGGUGCGAGCGUUGUCCGGAAUUAUUGGGCGUAAAGAGCUUGUAGGUGGUUUGUCGCGUCUGCUGUGAAAACCCGGGGCUCAACUCCGAGCUUGCAUUCGAUACGGGCAGGCUAGAGUUCGGUAGGGGAGACUGGAAUUCCUGGUGUAGCGGUGAAAUGCGCAGAUAUCAGGAGGAACACCGGUGGCGAAGGCGGGUCUCUGGGCCGUAACUGACGCUGAGGAGCGAAAGCAUGGGGAGCGAACAGG